UACAGAGGUCCCGAGCGUUGUUCGGAUUCACUGGGCGUAAAGGGUGUGUAGGAGGUUCGAUAAGUCAGGUGUGAAAUCCCAUCGCUCAACGAUGGAACUGCAUUCGAUACUGUCGGACUAGAGGAUCGGAGGGGGAAGCGGAAUUCUUGGUGUAGCGGUGAAAUGCGUAGAUAUCAAGAGGAACACCGGUGGCGAAGGCGGCUUCCUGGAAGAUACCUGACUCUGAAACACGAAAGCUAGGGGAGCGAAUGGG
Molecule: ribosomal RNA, 253 nt
Filed under: uncultured bacterium
Lineage: Bacteria
Description: partial 16S ribosomal RNA
Rfam family: Bacterial small subunit ribosomal RNA
Source: RNAcentral